AUGAACGCUGGCGGCGUGCCUAAUACAUGCAAGUCGAGCGAACAGACGAGGAGCUUGCUCCUCUGACGUUAGCGGCGGACGGGUGAGUAACACGUGGAUAACCUACCUAUAAGACUGGGAUAACUUCGGGAAACCGGAGCUAAUACCGGAUAAUAUAUUGAACCGCAUGGUUCAAUAGUGAAAGACGGUUUUGCUGUCACUUAUAGAUGGAUCCGCGCCGCAUUAGCUAGUUGGUAAGGUAACGGCUUACCAAGGCAACGAUGCGUAGCCGACCUGAGAGGAUGAGAAGUCACACUGGAAGUGAGACACGGUCCAGGCUCCUACGGGAGGCAGCAGUGGGGAAUGUUGGGAAAUGGGCGAAAGCCUGAUACAGCCAUGCCGCGUGGGUGAAGAAGGUCUUCGGAUUGUAAAGCACUUUAAGUUGGGAGGAAGGGCAGUAAGUUAAGACCUUGCGGUUUUGACGUUACCAACAGAAUAAGCACCGGCUAACUUCGUG
RNAcentral lists this ribosomal RNA (496 nucleotides) under uncultured bacterium. RNAcentral's name for it is "partial 16S ribosomal RNA". It matches the Rfam family "Bacterial small subunit ribosomal RNA", at positions 29 to 507 of the family's 1533-position model. The record is from RNAcentral.